GGGGGUGUUUUUGGUUUCGACGGGGAAAGUGAAGCAUAAGUGGCAUGCCGAGUCGUCACCGUCUCGUAAAAAGGUGGCACAUUACAGUUGCCAAUAGCAACUACGCACUCGCUGCUUAAUUAGCAGCCGUCAUCUAAAGUUGCCACCUGCAGACUUUAGAAUGACGUCGCCUUGCAGGUUGCUCUUAUGGUUUUGCUUCGACCAUAAGUUAAGACUUUGAAGCAUUGCUCGAUGUAAAUCCGGCUCUUUGGAGUUACAUCGGGGACUUUAAAGAAAGAGCUAAGCAUGUAGAAGCUUAUGUGGAAUUUCUUCGGACACGGGUUCGACUCCCGUCACCUCCACCA
RNAcentral lists this transfer-messenger RNA (344 nucleotides) under bacterium. Its description in RNAcentral is "QNBC01 sp003641665 Standard tmRNA". It matches the Rfam family "transfer-messenger RNA". Rfam says of the family: Bacterial tmRNA, also known as 10Sa RNA or SsrA, is named for its dual tRNA and mRNA-like properties. RNAcentral also lists the same sequence under 2 other names. The record is from RNAcentral.